Pseudophryne corroboree (corroboree frog) is the source of this 360-nucleotide long non-coding RNA. RefSeq lists it as uncharacterized. NCBI's taxonomy places the organism in Eukaryota, Metazoa, Chordata, Amphibia, Anura, Myobatrachidae. The transcript has 3 exons. The record is from RefSeq and is a predicted model, not a curated record.
ACUGAGUGUCUGACACAUGUACAGAGCCCACAAGCUGCCAUGAGCUAUUUCUACAUGUAACUAGGUGACUACGCCUUGCAGCUUCCCCUACGUUAUAGGCUUUUUAACUUCAUUAUGUGAUCAGGCAUGUUGCCAACUUUGAAGGCCAUUCCACACAUCUGAGUGAUCUGGCUUGCCGUCCAGGUGAUUUAAGUGCCAAUCUUGAUAAAGGUCCGCACAAGGACCGAAACGUCGAUGAAAUACGGCAUCAACAGUGAACCCGAAUAAAAAUAUACUGAAUUUACAAGUGACUUCAGAGACUAAUUUCUGGGCGUGAGUGCACCUUCCACCUAGGUGGUUGUUGUGGUAUAUAUAUAUAUA